Molecule: non-coding RNA, 91 nt
Organism: Cucumis sativus (cucumber)
Lineage: Eukaryota; Viridiplantae; Streptophyta; Magnoliopsida; Cucurbitales; Cucurbitaceae
Source: Rfam
UUGCUAUGAUGAGAUUUGCCCCAAUAGUGAUCUGGGUCGAUCACAACCGUCCGAUUCAUAUCCGACGAAAAUCCUGGGUGCAUCUGAGCUG